UGGGGAAUUUUGGACAAUGGGGGCAACCCUGAUCCAGCCAUCCCGCGUGUGCGAUGAAGGCCUUCGGGUUGUAAAGCACUUUUGGCAGGGAAGAAACAGCCUGGGCUAAUAUCCCGGGCGACUGACGGUACCUGCAGAAUAAGCACCGGCUAACUACGUGCCAGCAGCCGCGGUAAUACGUAGGGUGCAAGCGUUGUUCGGAAUUACUGGGCGUAAAGCGUACGUAGGCGGAUGCGCAAGUUGGGGGUGAAAUCCCGGGGCUUAACCUCGGAAUUGCCCUCAAAACUGCACGCCUUGAGACCGAGAGAGGUAAGGGGAAUUCCUAGUGUAGAGGUGAAAUUCGUAGAUAUUAGGAAGAACACCCGUGGCGAAGGCGCCUUACUGGCUCGGUACUGACGCUGAGGUACGAAAGCGUGGGGAGCAAACA
RNAcentral lists this ribosomal RNA (427 nucleotides) under uncultured bacterium. RNAcentral describes it as "bacterial SSU rRNA". It matches the Rfam family "Bacterial small subunit ribosomal RNA", at positions 355 to 774 of the family's 1533-position model. The record is from RNAcentral.